UUUCCGUAGGUGAACCUGCGGAAGGAUCAUUACCGAGUUUUUUGGCUUCUGUCAAAACUCCCACCCUUUGUUUAUUAUGUCUUCUUCGGCAUGACGAUUUGUUGGUUGCAAGACUGACAAGCCACUGGUUUGAGAGAACGAGUGAGUGCUUGCCGAAGGCCUUUAACUCUAUAUUUUGAAGUCUGAGUCUAAAGAAAAUAAAUUAAAACUUUCAACAACGGAUCUCUUGGUUCUGGCAUCGAUGAAGAACGCAGC
RNAcentral lists this unclassified non-coding RNA (255 nucleotides) under uncultured fungus. RNAcentral describes it as "sequence contains ITS1, 5.8S rRNA gene". The stretch from base 207 to 255 matches the Rfam family "5.8S ribosomal RNA", at positions 1 to 49 of the family's 154-position model. The record is from RNAcentral. Lineage: Eukaryota; Fungi.